RNAcentral lists this ribosomal RNA (253 nucleotides) under uncultured bacterium. Its description in RNAcentral is "partial 16S ribosomal RNA". It matches the Rfam family "Bacterial small subunit ribosomal RNA", at positions 524 to 776 of the family's 1533-position model. The record is from RNAcentral.
UACGUAGGUGGCAAGCGUUGUCCGGAAUUAUUGGGCGUAAAGCGCGCGCAGGUGGUUUCUUAAGUCUGAUGUGAAAGCCCACGGCUCAACCGUGGAGGGUCAUUGGAAACUGGGGAACUUGAGUGCAGAAGAGGAAAGUGGAAUUCCAAGUGUAGCAGUGAAAUGCGUAGAGAUUUGGAGGAACACCAGUGGCGAAGGCGACUUUCUGGUCUGUAACUGACACUGAGGCGCGAAAGCGUGGGGAGCGAACAGG